UCUUCAUUUUGCGCACUCUCUCACCGGUCAGAGAGGCGAGAGAGUGUGGAAAAUGAAGAGA
Molecule: non-coding RNA, 61 nt
Organism: Pristionchus pacificus
Lineage: Eukaryota; Metazoa; Nematoda; Chromadorea; Rhabditida; Neodiplogasteridae
Source: Rfam